RNAcentral lists this ribosomal RNA (460 nucleotides) under uncultured bacterium. RNAcentral describes it as "partial 16S ribosomal RNA". It matches the Rfam family "Bacterial small subunit ribosomal RNA", at positions 338 to 795 of the family's 1533-position model. The record is from RNAcentral.
CCUACGGGCGGCAGCAGUGAGGAAUAUUGGUCAAUGGACGCAAGUCUGAACCAGCCAUGCCGCGUGCAGGAAGACGGCUCUAUGAGUUGUAAACUGCUUUUGUACGAGGGUAAAUCCCGAUACGUGUAUCGGGUUGAAAGUAUCGUACGAAUAAGGAUCGGCUAACUCCGUGCCAGCAGCCGCGGUAAUACGGAGGAUUCAAGCGUUAUCCGGAUUUAUUGGGUUUAAAGGGUGCGUAGGCGGUUCGAUAAGUUAGCGGUGAAAGCCCGGGGCUCAACCCCGGCACUGCCUCUGAUACUGUCGGGCUAGAGUUUAGUUGCGGUAGGCGGAAUGUAUGGUGUAGCGGUGAAAUGCAUAGAGAUCAUACAGAACCCCGAUUGCGAAGGCAGCCUACCAAGCUACGACUGACGUUGAGGCACGAAAGCGUGGGGAGCAAACAGGAUUAGAUACCCUGGUAGUC